Molecule: transfer RNA, 84 nt
Filed under: Vibrio cholerae
Lineage: Bacteria; Pseudomonadati; Pseudomonadota; Gammaproteobacteria; Vibrionales; Vibrionaceae
Description: tRNA-Gly
Rfam family: tRNA
About the family: Transfer RNA (tRNA) molecules are approximately 80 nucleotides in length. Their secondary structure includes four short double-helical elements and three loops (D, anti-codon, and T loops).
Source: RNAcentral
UUGGGCUAGUGGUGAAAUUGGUAGACACAGUCUCUUGCCAAGGGGCCGCCUUCGGGCAUACGGGUUCGAUCCCCGUCUAGCAAA